GACGAACGCUGGCGGCGUGCCUAACACGUGCAAGUCGAGCGGGGAUUUAAGUGGAAGUUCUUCGGAAUGGAGAUUUAAAUUCUAGCGGCGGACGGGUGAGUAACGCGUGAACAAUCUGUCCCGGACAGGGGGAUAACACUUGGAAACAGGUGCUAAUACCGCAUAAGACCACGGCCUCGCAUGGGGCUGAGGUCAAAGGAGCAAUCCGGUUCGGGGUGAGUUCGCGUCCGAUUAGCUAGUUGGUGAGGUAACGGCCCACCAAGGCGACGAUCGGUAGCCGGCCUGAGAGGGUGAACGGCCACAUUGGAACUGAGAGACGGUCCAAACUCCUACGGGAGGCAGCAGUGGGGAAUAUUGGGCAAUGGGCGAAAGCCUGACCCAGCAACGCCGCGUGAGGGAAGAAGGUUUUCGGAUUGUAAACCUCUGUCCUAUGGGACGAAGGAAGUGACGGUACCAUAGGAGGAAGCCCCGGCUAACUACGUG
RNAcentral lists this ribosomal RNA (483 nucleotides) under uncultured bacterium. RNAcentral's name for it is "partial 16S ribosomal RNA". It matches the Rfam family "Bacterial small subunit ribosomal RNA", at positions 28 to 507 of the family's 1533-position model. The record is from RNAcentral.